AUAGCAGAAUAAUAACAGGGUGAAGACACACAAAAGAUCAGUGACAUUACAAGGCGUUUAGUUGGACAUGAAGGCUGGCAUCAGAGAUUGGCAAAUUUUGCUCUUUCGUUUCGUUGAUCUGACGUCUGAAUCCACUUACACAAGGUUCAUCAGUUCACAAGGUUAUAACAAACACAGUCAUGGACAAUUUAGUAUCUUCAAUUCACCUCACUUGCAUGUCUUUGGACUGUGGCAGGAAACCGGAGCAGUAAAUCCACACAGACAUGGGGAGAACAUGCAAACUCCACACAGAAAGGACCCGGACUGCCCCACCUGGGGAUCGAACCCAGGACCUUCUUCAUAAAUGUAUU
Trichomycterus rosablanca is the source of this 350-nucleotide long non-coding RNA. RefSeq lists it as uncharacterized. The record is from RefSeq and is a predicted model, not a curated record. The transcript has 3 exons. Lineage: Eukaryota; Metazoa; Chordata; Actinopteri; Siluriformes; Trichomycteridae.